RNAcentral lists this ribosomal RNA (494 nucleotides) under uncultured bacterium. RNAcentral describes it as "partial 16S ribosomal RNA". It matches the Rfam family "Bacterial small subunit ribosomal RNA", at positions 28 to 507 of the family's 1533-position model. The record is from RNAcentral.
GACGAACGCUGGCGGCGUGCUUAACACAUGCAAGUCGAACGGAAAGGCCUGCUUUCCCUUGUGGAUUGCGGGUACUCGAGUGGCGAACGGGUGAGUAACACGUGAGUGAUCUGCCCCCAACUUGGGUAUAAGCCUGGGAAACUGGGUCUAAUUCCCGAUAGGACUGCAGGGUGGUGCCCGUGGUGGAAAACGAUUUUCUAGUGGUUGGGGAUGAGCUCGCGGCCUAUCAGCUUGUUGGUGGGGUAAUGGCCUACCAAGGCGGCGACGGGUAGCCGGCCUGGGAGGGUGGGCGGCCACAGUGGGACUGAGAUACGGCCCAGACUCCUACGGGAGGCAGCAGUGGGGAAUAUUGCACAAUGGGCGGAAGCCUGAUGCAGCGACGCCGCGUCGGGGAUGACGGCCUUCGGGUUGUAAACUCCUUUCGACCGCGAGGAAGCCACCUGGUUGGAAGGGUGGUGACGGUAGUGGUAGAAGAAGCACCGGCUAACUACGUG